CGCUCUAACCAACUGAGUUGGUUAGAGCGUCGCACCGGUAUUGCGAGGUCACAGGUUCAAACCCUGUUGA
This 70-nucleotide transfer RNA is filed under the name Acropora cervicornis. RNAcentral describes it as "tRNA-Thr". Lineage: Eukaryota; Metazoa; Cnidaria; Anthozoa; Scleractinia; Acroporidae. The record is from RNAcentral.